This 543-nucleotide ribosomal RNA is filed under the name uncultured bacterium. RNAcentral's name for it is "bacterial SSU rRNA". It matches the Rfam family "Bacterial small subunit ribosomal RNA", at positions 777 to 1320 of the family's 1533-position model. The record is from RNAcentral.
AAUAGAUACCCGGGUAGUCCACGCCGUAAACGAUGAAUACUAGGUGUAGGGGUUGUCAUGACCCUCUGUGCCGCCGCUAACGCAUUAAGUAUUCCGCCUGGGGAGUACGGUCGCAAGAUUAAAACUCAAAGGAAUUGACGGGGGCCCGCACAAGCAGCGGAGCAUGUGGUUUAAUUCGAAGCAACGCGAGGAACCUUACCUAGACUUGACAUCUCCUGCAUUACCCUUAAUCGGGGAAGUUCCUUCGGGGACAGGAAGACAGGUGGUGCAUGGUUGUCGUCAGCUCGUGUCGUGAGAUGUUGGGUUAAGUCCCGCAACGAGCGCAACCCUUAUUGUUAGUUGCUACCAUUUAGUUGAGCACUCUAGCGAGACUGCCCGGGUUAACCGGGAGGAAGGUGGGGAUGACGUCAAAUCAUCAUGCCCCUUAUGUCUAGGGCUACACACGUGCUACAAUGGCAAGUACAAAGAGACGCAAUACCGCGAGGUGGAGCAAAACUCAAAAACCUUGUCUCAGUUCGGAUUGUAGGCUGAAACUCGCCUACA